Non-coding RNA from Paramuricea clavata, 357 nucleotides. NCBI's taxonomy places the organism in Eukaryota, Metazoa, Cnidaria, Anthozoa, Malacalcyonacea, Plexauridae. The record is from the annotation of a GenBank genome assembly.
GGGCUAUAGGAGCUUUAAAUUAAGAGACCUUUUGCCUUUUGAAUUUUAAAACGCUCAUUUCUUUGAAAAAAAUCAGAAAAAAUUAAACCCAAUGAAUUGAUUCGACGGAAAUUCGACAUCUAACACAGGCCUGGAUGACUGAUUCGAUCACCUCUGAUUACGCAACUGCCAAUAGAUUUCCUCCAUUGACCUGCAACUGUCAAUUUCACCUGACUGGUUACUGCGUAUUUUGAUAUAGAGUACAAAAUUAUUUCAGACGAUUGAAACGUAUAGUUGCCAAUUUCGUGAACAAUCAACUAGAACAAAAAUAACAAUUUUAUCAACAAGCAAAUACUUAAUAUUUAUUGUAGGUUAUCA